GCUGAGGUAAUUUGUUUGCCCUCUCGAGGCAAUGACCGGGGUUCGAAUCCCCGUCGGAGCA
Molecule: transfer RNA, 61 nt
Filed under: Natronobacterium gregoryi
Lineage: Archaea; Methanobacteriati; Methanobacteriota; Halobacteria; Halobacteriales; Natrialbaceae
Also listed under: 1 other name
Description: tRNA_Glu_CTC
Rfam family: tRNA
About the family: Transfer RNA (tRNA) molecules are approximately 80 nucleotides in length. Their secondary structure includes four short double-helical elements and three loops (D, anti-codon, and T loops).
Source: RNAcentral